UCCCUGGAGGAUUAGUGGUUAGGCCACAGCGUUCUCACUGCUGUGGCCCGGUUUCGAUUCCCAGCCAGUGAA
This is a non-coding RNA of Pangasianodon gigas (Mekong giant catfish), 72 nucleotides long. The record is from the annotation of a GenBank genome assembly. NCBI's taxonomy places the organism in Eukaryota, Metazoa, Chordata, Actinopteri, Siluriformes, Pangasiidae.